This is a non-coding RNA of Cinara cedri, 351 nucleotides long. The record is from the annotation of a GenBank genome assembly. Lineage: Eukaryota; Metazoa; Arthropoda; Insecta; Hemiptera; Aphididae.
GUGAAUUUUAUGGCUGAAAAAAAAAUACUUGUAGUCCCACACCCUCCCUAUUCACCUGAUCUAGCCCCGUGCGAUUUUUUUCCUUUCCCGAGAAUAAAAUCUGCGCUUAAAGGACAACGAUUUCAAGACUUAGAGGAAAUUAAAGCAAAUAUGGCAACAGAAUUCAAAGCUAUAACUUUAAAACAAUUUCAAAGGACUUUCGAAAACUGGCAAGAUCGCUGGAACCACUGCAUAUUGUCUGGAGGAGAGUAUUUUGAAGGCGAUAUCUUUAAAUAAUAUGUAACUUCAUUUUUGUAAUUAUCAAAAAGAAAAUCCUGGUACUUUUUGAACAGACCUUGUACAUAAAAUGGU